GCCAGUGUGAUGGAAUUGGUAGACAUGACGGAUUCAAAAUCCGUUGCUAGCGAUAGCGUGGCGGUUCAAGUCCGCCCACUGGUACCA
This 87-nucleotide transfer RNA is filed under the name Alteromonas sp. Its description in RNAcentral is "tRNA-Leu". It matches the Rfam family "tRNA". Rfam says of the family: Transfer RNA (tRNA) molecules are approximately 80 nucleotides in length. Their secondary structure includes four short double-helical elements and three loops (D, anti-codon, and T loops). RNAcentral also lists the same sequence under 38 other names. Lineage: Bacteria; Pseudomonadati; Pseudomonadota; Gammaproteobacteria; Alteromonadales; Alteromonadaceae. The record is from RNAcentral.